AAGUCGUAACAAGGUCUCCGUAGGUGAACCUGCGGAGGGAUCAUUACCGAGUUAGGGUCUUCCACGGCCCGACCUCCCAACCCUGUGUCUAAUCAUACCAAUUGUUGCUUCGGCGGGACGGUCUACCCAGACCGCCGGAGGGUGGCCACCGCCCCCUCUGGAGAGCGCCCGCCGACGGCCCAAUCUCAAAACUCUUGUACCCAACUGUGAUGCCUAAAUCGACCUUUUGUAUAAUAACAAAAAACAAAA
This 249-nucleotide unclassified non-coding RNA is filed under the name plant metagenome. RNAcentral describes it as "partial contains small subunit ribosomal RNA and internal transcribed spacer 1". The stretch from base 1 to 46 matches the Rfam family "Eukaryotic small subunit ribosomal RNA", at positions 1786 to 1831 of the family's 1831-position model. The record is from RNAcentral.